AUGUAACAGAAGAAGCUGAAGAGACUAAAAUGGCUGGUUUGACUAGCCAACUUAUUCCAAAUGCAUCUGGGGUGGAAUCUCUAAUCAGAGAUGUAUGCGAUACAACUUCCAUUGCAGAGCUUGAACUGAAACUUGAUGGAUUUCGGUAAUACAUUGUGAGGGACUUAGCUGGAAAA
This is a long non-coding RNA of Hibiscus syriacus, 176 nucleotides long. RefSeq lists it as uncharacterized. NCBI's taxonomy places the organism in Eukaryota, Viridiplantae, Streptophyta, Magnoliopsida, Malvales, Malvaceae. The record is from RefSeq and is a predicted model, not a curated record. The transcript has 3 exons.